UUGUCUAGUGGAUUGUCGGACGGCUUGUACAGUUUGGCAAUAACUUUCAAGAAGUGGGUUGUUGUGAUCACAUUGCCCAUGUAUUGGUCCCAUGCCGUCUGGAUCUUCUAUUCAAGAAUGGUAUACUUCCAAUGAAUGUCACGCUUUAGGUCGUAGGCACGGACACUGUAGUCGACGACUUCGGCUUCUGUCAUAAGGUCUGGAAUAAGGACGUAGAAGGGAACACCUGUCUGCAGUGUUGAUCCUGUUGUGCCAACCUG
This 260-nucleotide long non-coding RNA is filed under the name Mytilus galloprovincialis (Mediterranean mussel). The record is from RNAcentral. Lineage: Eukaryota; Metazoa; Mollusca; Bivalvia; Mytilida; Mytilidae.